Molecule: ribosomal RNA, 469 nt
Filed under: uncultured bacterium
Lineage: Bacteria
Description: bacterial SSU rRNA
Rfam family: Bacterial small subunit ribosomal RNA
Source: RNAcentral
GAUGAACGCUAGCGGCAGGCUUAACACAUGCAAGUCGAGGGGUAUAGUUCUUCGGAACUAGAGACCGGCGCACGGGUGCGUAACGCGUAUGCAAUCUACCUUUUGCAGAGGGAUAGCCCCAGAGAAAUUUGGAUUAAUACCUCAUAGUAUAGCAGUUUCGCAUGAAACCACUAUUAAAGUCACAACGGCAAAAGAUGAGCAUGCGUCCCAUUAGCUAGUUGGUAAGGUAACGGCUUACCAAGGCUACGAUGGGUAGGGGUCCUGAGAGGGAGAUCCCCCACACUGGUACUGAGACACGGACCAGACUCCUACGGGAGGCAGCAGUGAGGAAUAUUGGACAAUGGGCGCAAGCCUGAUCCAGCCAUGCCGCGUGCAGGAUGACGGUCCUAUGGAUUGUAAACUGCUUUUAUACAGGAGAAACACUCCGACGUGUCGGAGCUUGACGGUACUGUAAGAAUAAGGAUCGGCU